GUCUGAGACAUGGUUUGUGGAAAUCAAACAUCGACGUGGCUCUCAUGUUUAAAUAAAUCCUGGGAAUUGGGGAAGGAUGUGAAGUGUCCAGGUCAAGACUGUUAUUUACCAAAUUGAAAAUUUGAGCUGACAGCCUCAAACACAUAAUGCUGUAACUUUUGGGAUAGCUGGAUGGAGCAAGGAGCAGAGAGGAGUGACUGGAAUCACAGGAGACAUCAGUGGCAGCCUCAGGGGAAUCACUUGAAAGAAUGAACCACUGUUGUCUGAGCAAUAGUAAGGACAGCAGCCAGCGAGGUGUGUACAGUCUUUGGGGAGUAUUUUUGAUGUUCCUGCUUCGACUGGAGUAAAAUCAGGCACAGGAAUGAGGCUGAUCAGCCGUAGCCUCUGCUGUCUGCAUGUCCAGGAACAGCUUUCCAAGUAUCCUCUGAUCCUGCCCAAAGUCUUCUGGCCAACAGGAAGCAUCAGUGGGGCACAGGGCUCGUCAGCCCAAGCCUCCAGUGCAGAGCUGGCUGGUAACUGUGGUGGGAGCACAUGCAGUUCCUGCCAAUGUGCAAAAGGAAAAGCACCUUCCGUUGGAGAAAACACCAUUGGUAAUUCCUAAUGUCAGAGUGCUACAUGAGUAAAUGAAAAGAAUGCGCACUCCUUAUUCCCCUCCCAGAAACAAACCCCUAGGGGAAAUCCUUUAACUUCUCUCCACCUAAGACCCCAGCUGAGUUUCCGUCUUGCCUUCUCCCCGUAUUCACACACAGCCCAUGAUUUGAACUGAGUGUGAAAGGGGCAGAGGUGUAGGUAUGGAGAGUGGAUAUAACCCUGCACAUUUUCUCUGGGCUCUCAGCCAUGUUUUCCAACACUGUUGCAUUUUGCGUUUAUAGCACAGCAAAGAUUUUCUUGCUCAUUUAAUUUUCUCUUCCCAUGCUGCAGGGCUUAGUUCAUUAGCUUAAAAGACUGUCACGCUUCUGGAGAACAGAAUAUAUUUGGCAGGAGUUUUGUGGAUAGUAAUUAUCUAAAAAUUCAAUCAAGCCAUUUUUUGAUUGAUUUUUGGGAUGAGAUAUAUAGGCUUCAGUGGAAUUAAUUGCAUCCUAGUAUUUUUUUUUUUAAAUUUAUGUUUUAAGCAUCAGAUUGCCCCACCACUCCCACUUUCUUUGGUACAUUUAUUUUUUCCUCUUACCAACUAUAUACAGUCACUUCUAGGUAAAUGCUCUGCCUGCAUUGAUUUAUUAAAUAUAUCUUCCAGUGAUAUUAGUAUUGUAACACCCAUGUAGCUGAAAGGAAUUUUUACAGAAGGAUAAUUUUCAGUCUUAAAAAUGCCACUGGCCAAGCAAGUAGACUUUCCUGAAAACUGCAGAAGGUACAUGAACAUAAAAUAACACUGAUUGUGACUGAUGACCACUUCUUAUGGAAUUAAUUUUCAUUACAUGAAUUCAAUGUAUUAGGCUUAAGGAGCUAUUUUAAAUAGCAGUAAAAACAAAAAAUAUGAGACGUAAAUUAUAAGAGCAGUAAUGCUAAAGCUGCUGUUAUGAGACACUGCUUGCUGAUCGGCCUUGAUGAGAAAAUGUUGCUCAGAAAAAUGCCCCAUCAGUGUUGUGAUACCAUCACAUCCCCUGCUCCAGGGGAUGCCAAAAAAAGCCUGUUCAGAUCUGUAUCUCUACAUUUCCAGCUGUGGUGGAUUAGAAAGUAGCAAAGAGAAUUUCUCAGAGACUGAUUUAUUAACCUGGUUGAGCAAUUUUUUCUGGAUCUGUUCUGUAUCAGUUGCACAGACUGAUUUGUAAGAAAAUAAGACUGAAAAUUCACAUGGAGGAAAGCAACAAAGCCAACAGCAAAAACGCCAAGAAAGCCUUGAACUGCCUGUAUCACCUUCUUCCCUCCUAAAUUCUCCUGAGGACUCGUGCACUCUGAAACGUCUGAUGCUUUGGGAACAUGACACCCAUUAAAUGGCACAGGAAUCCAGUGUGAGGACUGGGUUUUGGUAAAAUGGAAGGUGGCUGAGUUUGGGGGUGGAGAGGGCGCUGGGGUUACAUCAGGAGUUGAUACUGGAGAUUGGAAUUUCCCCUUUUUCUAAUAGCAGAGGAUUUUUUUCCUAUGGUUUGCUUAACUAAAAUAAUUUGGUCUUCUCAAGAGUAUCUGAUAGAGAAUUCUGGGGGUGAAAAAAAAAAGUGGUGCUAAAACCAAUCCGCAUUUUCUCCAUAGCGGAACUUUAAACUUUUUCAGCUGUUGUUUUCUCAUUGUUUUAAUGGAUCUUACUUCCUGUUACAGAAUGGGGUCUCAGGUUUUGGAGCACUGUGAAGGUAUAUAAUAAGGGAACUGAAUGGUGUGAACCCUUUGGGACUUACUGCUUUAAUGUCUGCAGCAACUCCAUUGCCAGUAGGGUUUGCAAGUACACAGGACACUGUAGUGACUGGUGCACCUGCAGUUACUAAU
Hirundo rustica (Barn swallow) is the source of this 2418-nucleotide long non-coding RNA. RefSeq lists it as uncharacterized. The record is from RefSeq and is a predicted model, not a curated record. The transcript has 4 exons. Lineage: Eukaryota; Metazoa; Chordata; Aves; Passeriformes; Hirundinidae.